ACGAACGCUGGCGGCGUGCUUAACACAUGCAAGUCGAACGGAAAGGCCCCUUUGGGGGUACUCGAGUGGCGAACGGGUGAGUAACACGUGAGUAACCUGCCCUUGACUUCGGGAUAACUUCAGGAAACUGGGGCUAAUACCGGAUAGGAAUCCUUGCUGCAUGGUGGGGGUUGGAAAGCUUCGGCGGUUUUGGAUGGACUCGCGGCUUAUCAGCUUGUUGGUGGGGUAGUGGCUUACCAAGGCUUUGACGGGUAGCCGGCCUGAGAGGGCGACCGGCCACAUUGGGACUGAGAUACGGCCCAGACUCCUACGGGAGGCAGCAGUGGGGAAUAUUGCACAAUGGGCGGAAGCCUGAUGCAGCAACACCGCGUGCGGGAUGACGGCCUUCGGGUUGUAAACCGCUUUCAGCAGGGGCGAAGCUUGUGGUGACGGUACCUGCAGAAGAAGCACCGGCUAACUACGUG
This 464-nucleotide ribosomal RNA is filed under the name uncultured bacterium. Its description in RNAcentral is "partial 16S ribosomal RNA". It matches the Rfam family "Bacterial small subunit ribosomal RNA", at positions 29 to 507 of the family's 1533-position model. The record is from RNAcentral.